CCAGACUCCUACGGGAGGCAGCAGUAGGGAAUCUUCCGCAAUGGGCGAAAGCCUGACGGAGCAACGCCGCGUGAGUGAUGAAGGUCUUCGGAUCGUAAAACUCUGUUAUUAGGGAAGAACAAACGUGUAAGUAACUGUGCACGUCUUGACGGUACCUAAUCAGAAAGCCACGGCUAACUACGUGCCAGCAGCCGCGGUAAUACGUAGGUGGCAAGCGUUAUCCGGAAUUAUUGGGCGUAAAGCGCGCGUAGGCGGUUUUUUAAGUCUGAUGUGAAAGCCCACGGCUCAACCGUGGAGGGUCAUUGGAAACUGGAAAACUUGAGUGCAGAAGAGGAAAGUGGAAUUCCAUGUGUAGCGGUGAAAUGCGCAGAGAUAUGGAGGAACACCAGUGGCGAAGGCGACUUUCUGGUCUGUAACUGACGCUGAUGUGCGAAAGCGUGGGGAUCAAACAGGAUUAGAUACCCUGGUAGUCCACGCCGUAAACGAUGAGUGCUAAGUGUUAGGGGGUUUCCGCCCCUUAGUGCUGCAGCUAACGCAUUAAGCACUCCGCCUGGGGAGUACGACCGCAAGGUUGAAACUCACAGGAAUUGACGGGGGCCCGCACAAG
This 607-nucleotide ribosomal RNA is filed under the name uncultured bacterium. Its description in RNAcentral is "bacterial SSU rRNA". It matches the Rfam family "Bacterial small subunit ribosomal RNA", at positions 331 to 929 of the family's 1533-position model. The record is from RNAcentral.